GGAUAAGUCGUAACAAGGUAACCAUAGAGUUUGAUCCUGNNUCUUANGACCNCCCGCUAGGGGGCGGCCGAUUUGAGAUUAGCUAGUUGGUGGGGUAAAGGCCUACCAAGGCGACGAUCUGUAGCUGGUCUGAGANNNNACCAGCCACACUGGGACUGAGACACGGCCCAGACUCAUACGGGAGGCAGCAGUGGGGAAUUUUGGACAAUGGGGGAAACCCUGAUCCAGCAAUGCCGCGUGUGUGAAGAAGGCCUUCGGGUUGUAAAGCACUUUUGUCCGGAAAGAAAACCUCCGCCCUAAUAUGGUGGGGGGAUGACGGUACCGGAAGAAUAAGCACCGGCUAACUACGUGCCAGCAGCCGCGGUAAUACGUAGGGUGCAAGCGUUAAUCGGAAUUACUGGGCGUAAAGCGUGCGCAGGCGGUCCGCUAAGACAGAUGUGAAAUCCCCGGGCUUAACCUGGGAACUGCAUUUGUGACUGGCGGGCUAGAGUAUGGCAGAGGGGGGUAGAAUUCCACGUGUAGCAGUGAAAUGCGUAGAGAUGUGGAGGAAUACCGAUGGCGAAGGCAGCCCCCCUGGGCCAAUACUGACGCUCAUGCACGAAAGCGUGGGGAGCAAACAGGAUUUAGAUACCCUGGUAGUCCACGCCCUAAACGAUGUCAACUAGUUGUUGGGGAUUCAUUUCCUUAGUAACGAAGCUAACGCGUGAAGUUGACCGCCUGGGGAGUACGGUCGCAAGAUUAAAACUCAAAGGAAUUGACGGGGACCCGCACAAGCGGUGGAUGAUGUGGAUUAAUUCGAUGCAACGCGAAAAACCUUACCUACCCUUGACAUGUAUGGAACCUGGCUGAGAGGUCGGGGUGCCCGAAAGGGAGCCAUAACACAGGUGCUGCAUGGCUGUCGUCAGCUUGUGUCCUGAGACGNUGNNAGUAGUACCACAGUGACCGCANAGUUUGNNCCUGGCUCAGG
This 967-nucleotide ribosomal RNA is filed under the name Paraburkholderia sp. RNAcentral describes it as "bacterial SSU rRNA". It matches the Rfam family "Bacterial small subunit ribosomal RNA", at positions 161 to 1120 of the family's 1533-position model. The record is from RNAcentral. Lineage: Bacteria; Pseudomonadati; Pseudomonadota; Betaproteobacteria; Burkholderiales; Burkholderiaceae.